RNAcentral lists this long non-coding RNA (2326 nucleotides) under Homo sapiens (human). RNAcentral describes it as "uncharacterized LOC127814295, transcript variant 11 (LOC127814295)". Lineage: Eukaryota; Metazoa; Chordata; Mammalia; Primates; Hominidae. The record is from RNAcentral.
AUCUCUGCGUGACUUCCGCCAGCGUUUAGAGCGUUUUCGGGGUCCGAGUUGAAGAGCAAAACCAAGUGAAGGAAACUUCACUAAGUUCAGGGUGACAAGGGAGGAAGUACAGAGUGAACUAUUGGCAUGGCUCAAUCCAUUGACCUGUUUUGGUUCCUGAUGAAGUUUUGUUAAUUUAAAUGAGAAAAAUAAGGACAGUGAAAAACAGAGCGCUUAAAAAGCACUGUCUGGAUAUCUUCAGAGGGAAAAAGGAGAAAGUUAACUGAAUUGGUGACACUUCGGGUCUCUCACAGAGGAAGGUAAGGUUUCAGUCAACAGCACAUAGAGGAUUAUCCUCAUUUACCCAGGACUGACAGUGUUUGUGAAUUCUAAAGCUGUGCAUGUAGUGAAUAUACAAGAUAAAAUUGAAAUGAGAAUAACGGAAUAGCAUUGUAGAAAUGAUUAAAAUGUACCCAAGCCCCAAGUUUUCAGAUAACAUGAUAGUUUUCUAAUGGUGAAACUGUUUAAGAUGUAUAGUCAUAAAAAAGAUUAAAAAAAAUAAGAAACAGUUGUAUAGCCAACUUUUAAUAAUCUGUGUUAUAGACUCCAUAGCAGAUCUGAAGGUAGCUAUAUGCCAGCAGCAGAAGGUGCACCCUGGAGCACAGUUUUGUAGCAGUUCUCCAAGCUGACCAGCUGAGGACUAGUGACCCUACUUAAGAACAGUUGGCUAAGAGGAUAGUCAAGUGAGGGGAAUGUGCUACAAGAGAAUCAUAGUAGAUAGAGAUGCAAACAAAAGGGAGAGUCUUUCUUCUUGUUCCUUUCUGAUCUGUAGAACCUGCAGGCCCACUGUAGAGCUCCCAUUGGAGUACAGUGGAGCAUGAAGAGAGAAUCCUUAGGAGAGCUUGUCAAGGAAUUUGGGGGAGGAGUGUGUUUGCAAACAUGGGGGAAAGUACUUAUUAAUCAUUUAGAUGUUCUGCAGGCAGAAAGCUUACUAGUGUAGUGUGUAGGGCUGCAAGCCACCAAAGUAAUGACUACUUGAAAGAGGACCAAUAGUUUCUGAAGCUCUGUGUGAAAAGAUACAGUGGUUGGGGUGGGGUGCGGAAUCUCUAGAGCAGCUCAUACAGCCACAGGGCAAAGAGAGGGAACCCCCACACGGAAAAAAAGAUUGCAGCAGGGAUGGAGAGCUAGUAGCUUUAGGAUGACUAGACACUUCUGAAAGUGAGCACUCUGUCCUUACAGAGACCACCAAACCAACAGAAGCCACCAGGACAGCACACAGCCAUUCCAAAAUUCCAGACCAGGAUCAUUCCAGAAAAGCCUUACAUCUCAGUCCAGUAUAUGGAUGGUUUUGUAAGAUGACCUAUGAUUUUUCUGUUCCUCCUUCCUGCCCCUAACUUCAGAGAAACAGACCUAGAAAGAGGGAAGGAAGGAGUGAAAAAGCGUGCCAUACUUUAUCUUCUCCCCUUCUGUUUUAAACUAGACAAAUCUAUAUUUUAAUUAUUAUAAGUAACCAGAAAGUUAUAUGGUCUGGCCAGGAUGGCAUUAAAGAAAAUGAGAGAGAAAAGUUUAAGAUAGCAUGGUUGGAGACAAUAAGUAGAAGAAACCAAGUAGUUCAAGUUUUAUAACGCUCUAUCUUAUAAACACUCUUGAACCAAUAAUAAUGCUAUUACUGAAAUGCUACACACAAUUGAAGACUACUUGUUAGACCAAGACCUUAAAAACUUCUUUACUGAUUAUUCCCAAUGUGUGGCCCUGGUAAUCAUUGAAGAAUCAUUGUAUUGACUAUUAAACAUCUAGGGAUCACCUGUUUAAAUCAAGUUAACAAAACACUUACUUAACAAAUAUAUAUUGAUUGCCUAUUAUGAAGUAGAUGCUAUAGUAGGUGCUGGCAGUAUAAACAUGAAAAGAGACAUUGUGUGUGCAUAUUAAUAUACAGCAAAUUAAACUUCAGCCAGAGAAGUACUUUACUAGAAGGUUGAUAGAAGUGUGGUGGUAGCUUGCAGGAGGAAGCAGUUAGCCUCCUUGGAAAUGAGUAAUCUUCACAGAAAGUAUGACAUUUGACCUGCUUCUUGGAGAAGAUGCAUAUUAAACCUAUUAAAUCCAUGUCAGCCUUUAACACCUUUGCUCAGAUUAGUUUCUCGAGCUGUUUUCCCACCUGGUGAGCAGAUAAGAGCAGGACAGGAAAGUUCUGAUGAAAGGAAGAAGUGCCAGAGAGAGAAGGCCUUGCAAGCAAAGAAGCCUGACAGGCAGGAGCCCCUGAGUAUCCUAAGGAGAAGUACCAGCGAUUUAGGGAAGAAAAUUGCUGCCAGAAGUGCAGGAAAUAAAAAUUCUGACCUAGAUCAUUUUA